This is a non-coding RNA of Camellia sinensis, 1279 nucleotides long. Lineage: Eukaryota; Viridiplantae; Streptophyta; Magnoliopsida; Ericales; Theaceae. The record is from RefSeq and is a predicted model, not a curated record.
CCCAAAUUUCAUCAAAUCUUUGGCGCCACUGAUUUUUCUUUUUUCCUCUAUCUCAUUUUCACGCUCAACUCUCUCACUCUCUCACUCUCUUUCUUCAUCUCCAUCUCCUAUCUUCGUGCAACUAAGAAUCACUCAUAUCCCAUCGGCAAGAGCUCAAAUUUGUAGAGCAUCAAUGUUGAAGGCACUGUAAGUUGUGAGGAAGUUGUUGCAGCUCUUCGCUGUUAACAAAUUCACGAAGGAUUGGCUAAAUCUGGACAUCUACCUGCUAGGAGAACGCUUGUUUGAUUGAUUCCAAGUCCUAGCUCAUCACCUUCGAGAAACGCAUUCUCUCUUUGGUCAAAGGGCAGUAUCACUCCAUCAACAACACAUCAACUGAUUCAGGGUAAGAAAAGAAAAGAUACAAUCUGCAUUGCACUUGCUGAUGACACUUGUGAUCAACCAAAGAUUAGGAUGAAUAAUGUUGUUAUUACUCCAUCAUUCAAGUUUGUAGCAUAGCUAAAUGAGUUGGAGUUUGGAAAUUUCCAUCAUUCUUUAGGCUUUUGGAGUCCAUGUCAUAUGUUGAAGUGGCAUCCACAUCUGAAAUCAAGGUUUCUAUUGCCUUAAUGAUAAAUUUGAUUUCCGAUAACACUAGUAUUAACUAUUCUACUAUGUUAUUAUUGAUGCUAAAUCUGGAUUUCCCAUAACACUUGAAUUUCCUUCUAAUUGUACUCAAUAGAAUAUUGAAAGAUAGUUAAUGUUGUUUUCUAGAGUAUUUACGUUUUUUGCAUGUAAAAUAUUGGGAUUGUUCAUUUGCAGGAUGCUAAUUAAUCUACUUUGGAUUUAUAGAUUUUAUUGCGUUGUGCAUAACGCUUGGUCUGAACAUACAUUUCACUGACCUGAUUUGAGUGCAGAACUAGAUUUCUUAUGAGUGGAUUAUUAGUGAUGCUAAUGGUUUGCAAGUUGUCUGGUAUACAUCUGAUGGAAUGCUUGGUGCUGCCCUUUAAGUAGGUUUUUUAUUGUUGUUUUCUGGUUUUUUUGUUGUUCUAUUCUCUGGUUUGUUUGGUAGUUGGUGUCUUACUGCAUCCCUUCAAUUGGACUUCAUUAGAAUGUUCAAAAAUUUGCAAAACCUAAGGCUUAAUUAUAGCUUGUUUGGAGCUGAGAUUAUAAAAUAGCCAUCAAACCAACUAAAAAUCAGCACAAGCAUUUUACUAAAGUCUAUAUAAACUUAUAGAAACAAACCAAACCUAUUGAAGUCUCGGUUAUAAAAUCAGAGCUAAAUUUGGCGACUUUAUGUAGAAAU